Molecule: ribosomal RNA, 246 nt
Filed under: uncultured bacterium
Lineage: Bacteria
Description: partial small subunit ribosomal RNA
Rfam family: Bacterial small subunit ribosomal RNA
Source: RNAcentral
AGAAUCAACGCUGGCGGCGUGCCUAACACAUGCAAGUCGAACGAGAAAGUGGAGCAAUCCAUGAGUAAAGUGGCGCACGGGUGAGUAACACGUGACUAACCUACCUUUUAGUGGGGGAUAACCUAGGGAAACCUGGGCUAAUACCGCAUAACACUUACGAGUCAAAGCAGCAAUGCGCUGAAAGAGGGGGUCGCGGCCGAUUAGCUAGGUUGGCGGGGUAAUGGCCCACCAAGGCAGUGAUCGGUA